This 72-nucleotide transfer RNA is filed under the name Bacteroidota bacterium. Its description in RNAcentral is "Bacteroidetes bacterium (freshwater metagenome) tRNA-Glu". It matches the Rfam family "tRNA". Rfam says of the family: Transfer RNA (tRNA) molecules are approximately 80 nucleotides in length. Their secondary structure includes four short double-helical elements and three loops (D, anti-codon, and T loops). The record is from RNAcentral. Lineage: Bacteria; Pseudomonadati; Bacteroidota.
GGCCCCUUCGUCUAAAGGCAAGGAUAGGAGAUUUUCACUCUCUUGAUCAGGGUUCGAUUCCCUGAGGGGUCA